Molecule: ribosomal RNA, 490 nt
Filed under: uncultured bacterium
Lineage: Bacteria
Description: partial 16S ribosomal RNA
Rfam family: Bacterial small subunit ribosomal RNA
Source: RNAcentral
AUUGAACGCUGGCGGCAGGCCUAACACAUGCAAGUCGAACGGUAACAGGAAGACGCUUGCUUCUUUGCUGACGAGUGGCGGACGGGUGAGUAAUGUCUGGGAAACUGCCUGAUGGAGGGGGAUAACUACUGGAAACGGUAGCUAAUACCGCAUAACGUCGCAAGACCAAAGAGGGGGACAUUCGGGCCUCUUGCCAUCGGAUGUGCCCCGAUGGGAUUAGCUAGUAGGUGGGGUAACGGCUCACCUAGGCGACGAUCCCUAGCUGGUCUGAGAGGAUGACCAGCCACACUGGAACUGAGACACGGUCCAGACUCCUACGGGAGGCAGCAGUGGGGAAUAUUGCACAAUGGGCGCAAGCCUGAUGCAGCCAUGCCGCGUGUAUGAAGAAGGCCUUCGGGUUGUAAAGUACUUUCAGCGGGGAGGAAGGGAGUAAAGUUAAUACCUUGGCUCAUUGACGUUACCCGCAGAAGAAGCACCGGCUAACUCCGUG